GUGGAUUAGAUACCCUAGUAGUCCUGGCCCUAAACGGUGCACGUUUGCUGUAAGAGGAAUCGACCCCUUUUGUGGCGAAGCUAACGCGUUAAACGUGCCGCCUGGGAAGUACGGCCGCAAGGUUAAAACUCAAAGAAAUUGACGGGGGCCUGCACAAGCGGUGGAGUAUGUGGCUUAAUUCGAUGCAACGCGAAGAACCUUACCUGGCCUUGACAUGCACAUAGUAGAAGCCUGAAAGGGUGACGAGGUAGCAAUACCAGUGUGCACAGGUGCUGCACGGCCGUCGCCAACU
RNAcentral lists this ribosomal RNA (292 nucleotides) under uncultured bacterium. RNAcentral describes it as "partial 16S ribosomal RNA". It matches the Rfam family "Bacterial small subunit ribosomal RNA", at positions 773 to 1060 of the family's 1533-position model. The record is from RNAcentral.